Molecule: long non-coding RNA, 2500 nt
Filed under: Sorghum bicolor (sorghum)
Lineage: Eukaryota; Viridiplantae; Streptophyta; Magnoliopsida; Poales; Poaceae
Description: long non-coding RNA (SBIC_LNC004216)
Source: RNAcentral
UACUUGUCACACCCAGUUUUAAAGAACAAAACCAGGCUAGCCAUAUAUGUGCCCAGGAAGUCCACACAUACAACAACAGAAGCAAUAAUAUCAAAAACAAUGUUAUAUAGCGGAAACAUACUUAUAAUUAACACUUACAUCAGAUAAUCGUAACACAAUAACUAAUCUUCAGGCUCAAUCUUCACAGGGACGGCUAACUGGAGGUAACAUAUGCCUAGCACUUCUUGUAUUCUGAGAACAUCCUUCAUGAUUCCAUCGCUCUUCUGAUCAACUCUUACUAGUAAACUGGAGUGGUGGGAAAUAGCAAGAGUGAGCACAUAUCGUACUCAACAAGUAUAACCAGGGGUUCAUGAGGCUCAAAUAGUUGACACUGGUUUGAUUGCAUUUAGCUUUUAAUAGUGGAUAGCAUGUUCAUAAUUAAAUAGCAAAUGUCAAGGUAGCAUAAAUAAUCCAAUAAUCACAUGAUCAAUUGUAAGCAUAAUUAACUCAUAGCAUAAAUGAUAAUCAAAUGAUCAUAAUAAUAUAAUGAGCUCAUCAUCUUAAUGUAGAUGUCCCCAAGGCUGCUCCUGACCGUGAGCUCGACUAGUAUACUAGUUUUAAACACUCUGCAGAGGUUAUACAUCUUUACCCAUGAGUCAUGAUUUACCCUUUCGCCCGAGGUGAUCAGCCUCUUAACCCACUACCAAGGAAGGUCGGCAGGGAUCACUAUGAAGCCGUUCAAAAGUUCGUCUAACAUGUUAGGGCCGCAAGGUUUCCUUUGCGCGCAGAUAUAGAUACCCCUUUCAAAUGGCACAAUGACGCGCAGCCUAUACACAUAAGGACAGGGGCUCGCACUAUACCCAAAACGGUUCAGCCCCUCCGCCCUUUCGGGUAACCUCUAACAAGCUAGAAAAGGUCUUCAUACUGAGCUAAAGCCAGAGCCAUUAUAGCCCUCAUGGUUGCACUGUUAUCCCGGGUGAUCACGUACAGACAAGAUCUCAUACAGUUAUUUGUCAUAUUCUUUUAUGUUCAUUGCACAGCUAUUAAUCAUCUUACAAGAUCAUGGAUUAUAUCAAGCACUAGCACAACUACACCAAAUGCAUAUCAAGUAGGUAGCAAGGAAUCCAGGUAACAAUCAUCUAUGAUUUUGCUAAGGUCGACAAGGUGAAAGCAUACAUAUGAUAUAUAUGUGUAUUUAUAAGUGAAUAGAUAACAAGGAUGAUCCCAAGUUAUACUUGCCUUAAUCCAAUUGCUCAAUUCUCACACUGUUAGCUUUCGGUCAUCAUCUUCUGAUCUUCAAUGCCCACAAACAGUUCUCAUCUACUCGUUGCAAGCACCACACACAGACAAACAUACAAACAACAAAUAAAAGCAACUAAGAACAAUACACCACUCAAGACAAAACAAUGUACUAAAAGAGAACUAGUUCUACGGUCACAGGAUCGCAAGAAACACUAAUAACGAAACCAUCAUAAUAAAUAAAUGACAUCAAGAGAUUUAUAUUACAUAAAAGAAACAACUACAAGCUUGAUUUAUUUUAGUUAAAUAAAACCAUAGAAAAUUUACUAGAUAAAUUAUAUUUAAACUUUAAAAAGUGAAAGUUAAUUAAUCAUGUUUUAUUUGUAAAUAUUAAUGUGUAGUUCAUUUAUCAAGUUAAAGUAGACAAGUGACAGCACGUGGAACAAGUUUACACUAACCAAAUUCAAUUUAAAAACAUAUUUAUGUUGCUAAUAUCCAAAUUUACAGUUAGAUAUAAAAGCUCGACAUUGUACUAUAUUGCUUUUGUUUAGCAACUAAUUUCAUGCACAUUGAUCCAAAAUGUUUAACUGUAAACACAAAAACUCGUGGCCUGCUAAACGUACUGUAUAUUACAUCAAUAUAAUAUUAAUCAACAAAAAUAGACUAGCAUAACUAAAACGUCCGUACGAUAAGGGUUAAAGCUGUAGAAACGAGAGUUCACUAGAGAUGUAGAUACCUACUGUGCUUGGUCAUAUCGGACGGUUUCUCGGGCGGGCAUGUCCCAUACGUGAUCUGCUUUGCUGCUUACUUUGCUUGAACUACAGGACAACAAUGCUAUCAUUUACUGAAGAUACGUAGGCACAAAAGCUAGUGACUGUGCUGUAGAGAAUAGAUCAUGUAGGGAUACAAGGAGAUUCUCACCAAGGCUGAAGAUGAACGAACGACAGGCACAAACUUGUUGGAUGAGAACCAAAGAUCGAUCAUGGCAGCCUGGAGCGGCAAGAAGGGCGAUGAUCUGAUGAGGUUCGUGGUGGUUAUAGAGGUCUUUGAUGCGGAUCUAGCGGAUCGAUCGGAAUCAAAGGCUGCUUGACCGUGUCCAUCUUGAUGAAUCCGGCUUCUGGAGAGUGCACCACCGGCGGCUUGGACUUGCUCUUCCCAUGACCAAAGCUAGGAGAUUCAGAAGUCUAGAUUGAUCUAUGGCCUUUACGGACCACCAUCAGUUUGCCCAAAGCUAAGAUUAUUGUUGAUGGCAGCGGCACUUAUGAUCAGCAGGGCCCUAGGG